RNAcentral lists this ribosomal RNA (253 nucleotides) under uncultured bacterium. RNAcentral describes it as "partial 16S ribosomal RNA". It matches the Rfam family "Bacterial small subunit ribosomal RNA", at positions 524 to 776 of the family's 1533-position model. The record is from RNAcentral.
GACGAACCGUGCAAACGUUGUUCGGAAUCACUGGGCUUAAAGGGCGCGUAGGCGGGCAAGCAAGUCGAAGGUGAAAUCCCACGGCUCAACCGUGGAAGUGCCCCCGAUACUGCUUGUCUUGAGGGAGAUAGGGGCGUGCGGAACUUCCGGUGGAGCGGUGAAAUGCGUAGAUAUCGGAAGGAACAUCAGUGGCGAAAGCGACUUCCUGGACCAAUACUGACGCUCAUGUGCGAAAGCGUGGGGAGCAAACAGG